GCCCAAACGUGAACCAGGUUCGUGC
This 25-nucleotide non-coding RNA is filed under the name Drosophila melanogaster (fruit fly). Lineage: Eukaryota; Metazoa; Arthropoda; Insecta; Diptera; Drosophilidae. The record is from RNAcentral.